GCUCAACCGAGGAAGUGCUUCGAAAACUGGUAAACUUGAGUGCAGAAGAGGAAAGUGGAACUCCAUGUGUAGCGGUGGAAUGCGUAGAUAUAUGGAAGAACACCAGUGGCGAAGGCGGCUUUCCGGUCUGUAACUGACGCUGAGAUUCGAAAGCAUGGGUAGCAAACAGGAUUAGAUACCCUGGUAGUCCAUGCCGUAAACGAUGAGUGCUAAGUGUUGGAGGGUUUCCGCCCUUCAGUGCUGCAGCUAACGCAUUAAGCACUCCGCCUGGGGAGUACGAUCGCAAGAUUGAAACUCAAAGGAAUUGACGGGGGCCCGCACAAGCGGUGGAGCAUGUGGUUUAAUUCGAAGCAACGCGAAGAACCUUACCAGGUCUUGACAUACCAUGAAAAGCUUAGAGAUAAGUCUUUCCCUUCGGGGACAUGGAUACAGGUGGUGCAUGGUUGUCGUCAGCUCGUGUCGUGAGAUGUUGGGUUAAGUCCCGCAACGAGCGCAACCCUUAUUAUCAGUUGCCAGCAUUCAGUUGGGCACUCUGGUGAGACUGCCGGUGAUAAACCGGAGGAAGGUGGGGACGACGUCAAAUCAUCAUGCCCCUUAUGACCUGGGCUACACACGUGCUACAAUGGUCGGUACAACG
This 637-nucleotide ribosomal RNA is filed under the name uncultured bacterium. RNAcentral describes it as "bacterial SSU rRNA". It matches the Rfam family "Bacterial small subunit ribosomal RNA", at positions 607 to 1244 of the family's 1533-position model. The record is from RNAcentral.